Long non-coding RNA from Bos taurus (domestic cattle), 1301 nucleotides. The record is from Ensembl. Lineage: Eukaryota; Metazoa; Chordata; Mammalia; Artiodactyla; Bovidae.
ACAUUCACAGACUCAGGAGGAUCUUCGUAGAGGCAAUGAAGGGCAGUGCGGAAGCUGUUAGGGAUCCCAGCUUGACUGUUCCCUGGCUGACGCAGGUUCGGUGGAAAUGAUGGCAACUGCCAUGCGGUGGAUCCAUAUCCCAGCCCCUGCAAGGGCUGCUCUACCUGUGCGACGGCCAGCCCCGCAGCUGGGUUUGGCUACCCGGCCCCAAGGCUGAUUAGUCCGGAGACACACGUGACUUCAGCGGGCCAAUCAGCUGUGUCCUCCCCGAUACCACCCCUCCCUGUUGGGGAGUGCGAACUUGGGUUCCGAGGACACCGGUCCGUCUUUGUAAGGCACCUCCGGAUUUCUGCUGUUCACAUCCAGAGCGGUUUUGAUCACCAGUGGACCCCAGGAGCUUUCAGUGUCUCAUUCAGUCUGUGCAGGUGGGCCGGGCAAUGCUGGGGCAUGUCAGGACUCACAGUCAGGAUGCUCGGCCUAGACCAAGCCAGCUUCCCUGGCUCAUUUGCGGAACAGGAGUGACACCCGACUCAGCCACUUCAUUGGGAGAGGCAAGCGACUCCACACUGUUGGUGAUAUAGAUCUCCAGAAACGUCUGUUGUCCAUGGAGUUUAACCAGUGUUUUGUACCGAUGAGAACUGUGGGUUAGGAUGAAGAAUCCUAUUCUGUCUUUCGUCUCUCUUAAGUUUACUCUUGUGAAUUAAAAAAAGAAAAAGCUCUCUAUAAAAAUAGUUCUGGAGACCUGGGUUCAAUCACUGAUCCGGGAAGAUCCCGUGUGCCGCGGAGCAACUAGGCCAGUGCGCCACAACUAUCGAGCCUGUUUUCUCGAGCCUGGGAGCCGCAAGACCGUGGGCCACAACUGUUGAAGGCCCGCAUGUCAGAGCCCCUGCUCAUCAACAAGAGACACCACUGCAAUGAAAAGCCUGUACACUGCAACUGGAGUUUGCCAACCGUACACUAUCCCCUCUUGCUGCAACUAGAGGAAAGCCUGCAAGGCAAUGAAGACCCAGCACAGCCAUAAGUUCUAUAUAUAAAACAUGGGAAUCCAGAUGUGCAGCUCAUUUUGUGUCACCUGUCCCCUGAGAGCUUGGCACAAAGAGCUGAGCUUCUGGAGGGAGGCUUAUUAGUCUGACCCCAGCUCUCCUUUACUAGUUCUCGGAAUUGGCCAAGUCUUAGCUCCCACACCUAUAAAAUGGAAUCUAACCUCCAUCUGAGGUUGUGGAAAGGAUUAGAAAUAAAGGUGUAAAGUAUUUUGCAUAGUGUCUUGUGCAGAGCAGCCAUUUAAUAACUGACAAUUAUUA